CAGACAGAAAAAUUAGAAGUCAGUGUUCGUCUGUUUGCAAACGUUCAGCAGUCGAUGCUGUAUAAAACAACAAAAUUCAAACACUUUUCACUCAAACGAAGAAAAUCUAAUUUGUGAGACAACAAUGGAAACAUACAACAAAAAUAAAAAUUCAAUCGUGGUCACACCAGACCAGAUUAUGCCGCCAAUCAACAGGUGCUUCGAAAGGCUCUCUGAAUUUCAGUGGAGCAUAAUAGAAAAUGGAAAAUGCGACUCCGGCAUCCAUGCAGUGCUCGCUGAUAUGAUUUCUGAAAUCAUUCAGAUCGCCUCUGCCAGCAUCCUGGAUAUAGCCCUUCCUGUUAUCCAGGAACCCAUGAUAAGGGAAGAGUUUAUGGAUGAGGGGAAAAUAAGGCUGUCCCUCGGAGACUCGAUCUCAGCCGCCAUCGCCAGCGCUCUUAAUGUCCCAAAACACCAAGAUAAGAACGCUGACAAGCUGACACUGAUGGUUGAGGAAGAGAUCUCCGAAAAAGUCAGCUCAGCCAUUGCACUGAUCGAAGAAAGCCCUGAUUUCCCGCAACACCCCGCCGUUUAUGUUAGCAGCAAAUUUAGUAGUAUUAAAAAACUACACCGCAUGGUUUGUUGUGCUGCCUCAUGCCUGAAAGGGUAUGCAGCACGUAAGCUGCGCUGCCAGUGUGGGACAAGCGGGUCUGAUUCCAGUACAGAAAGUACUGGUUCAAAAAUAUCAGUGCAAUCAGCAAUCACAGAGAUUUCUGUUAUUCUGUCAACAAGGAGCUCAGAUGGAGAGAUGACAGAAAAAGAUAAUGAGAUCUCAAAAGAAUCAGCUCUAACAGAACAAAGCAAAAUAAAACCAACUGCAGAAACACAAAGUAUCCGAGCUCCAACCCCAGUAGAAGUGGUUGCAGCUGACAUCGUACAUGAGAUACUUGCUAACAUGGAUUCAAGCAGUGAAGAGCUCUGUGACAAAUGUAGCUUACCUAAACCUGCUUUUAAAGCAGGCUUAAUUAUCCACAAGGUGAGGCACUUCUUCUCCAAAUGUGUGCCAUCUACCUCACACGCCAGGCUCAAAGCACGCA
Molecule: long non-coding RNA, 1073 nt
Organism: Oreochromis aureus
Lineage: Eukaryota; Metazoa; Chordata; Actinopteri; Cichliformes; Cichlidae
Source: Ensembl